CCUUUUCCAGCCUCUCCCAGCAAUGACAUCGCUGGAUAGUUUUCUUGGGGCUGGAUCAGAGGACGUUGCAGCCGAGCCCACUCUUAGGGGCCAGAUCCCUGUAUCAGACUUGUACUAAUUACCAUAUGUGGUUUUGAUGUAUCGCCAAGAAUGGGUUUCAGAAGAAGAAGAAAAAAAUAUGCAUAUCAGUAAAGCCGGAAUCCCCAAGGUCAUAAGAGAAGUGGGUGGAACUCAAAUGGGCUCCAGAGCCAAGCCUGGGAAUCUUGACAAUGACUCCAAGUACAAGAAAUUUUUGGAUUAUCUCAAUAGAUGCAGAAAAAGCCUUUGAUAAAAUACAACACCCAUUCCUAUUAAAAACACUAGAAAGCAUAGGAAUAGAAGGGUCAUUCCU
This 391-nucleotide long non-coding RNA is filed under the name Monodelphis domestica (gray short-tailed opossum). RNAcentral's name for it is "lncRNA (ENSMODG00000040082.1)". The record is from RNAcentral. Lineage: Eukaryota; Metazoa; Chordata; Mammalia; Didelphimorphia; Didelphidae.